This 395-nucleotide unclassified non-coding RNA is filed under the name soil metagenome. RNAcentral's name for it is "partial contains 5.8S ribosomal RNA, internal transcribed spacer 2, and large subunit ribosomal RNA". The stretch from base 1 to 120 matches the Rfam family "5.8S ribosomal RNA", at positions 35 to 154 of the family's 154-position model. The record is from RNAcentral.
GAUGAAGAACGUAGUGAAAUGCGAUAAGUAAUGUGAAUUGCAGAAUUCAGUGAAUCAUCGAAUCUUUGAACGCACCUUGCGCCUUUUGGUAUUCCGAAAGUCACACCUGUUUGAGCGUCAUGAAUACCUCAAUCUCCAUCUUUUCUUCGGAUUGAUGGGUGACUUGGAUGUUGAGCCCUGCUGGUAUGCUAUAUCAGCUGGCUUUAAACUUAUUAGCCGGCUCUGUACUGGAUCGGUUUGACUCGACGUGAUAAUAUUAUCGUUGAGGAUGCAUGUCUCAUGCAGCCGGAAAGUAUCAAAGCAGCUUCUAGCUUGCCUUUAGUGCACUUUUACAUUUUAGACCUCAGAUCAGGUGGGACUACCCGCUGAACUUAAGCAUAUCAAUAAGCGGAGGA